This is a long non-coding RNA of Sycon ciliatum, 819 nucleotides long. RefSeq lists it as uncharacterized. The transcript has 2 exons. NCBI's taxonomy places the organism in Eukaryota, Metazoa, Porifera, Calcarea, Leucosolenida, Sycettidae. The record is from RefSeq and is a predicted model, not a curated record.
GGGUGCUUGUACUGCCUUCCAAAGUGAAGAGGAGAUGAACAUGGCUUUGCAUAGCUGUUGCUCUACGCCAACUUACCUACUCUUGCUGGUUCCGUAGUGGUAUAUUGCAAAUUUCGUGGACGAACAAUUCGAGUCACUAGUGGCUAGUGAGCACCACUAACAGACCAGAAUGCUUCGCCAUCAACUCCUGGCUUUCCAUCGGCAUGGUGUUCAGCUGCAGCGGCAUCUGGUCCGGGGAGUACGUUGCUGGAUGGCUGCACUGACACAGGAUGGGUUUGCGUUGGCAAUGCAAUACGGCAGUCAUCCCACAUUAUGAGCUACACGUUUAUGUAAUUUAUAUUGUCGCUCGUCCAGCAACGUCAAGGCUCUGCAUGUAAACACAGGAGAACACCAUAAUAAUUUUACUACUCAGGGGAUAAUAAUUAUAAUUUUGGAUUAUCAAUUUCUUGACAUUUAUGAGUUCCUGUCUAAACCAUGUCGUGAUAUUGAUUGCUAUCUGCUCACAAAGUACCUCGUAUUGUAACAAUACUCUGCUUAAUCACUACCCUCUGCCAAUUAUUAGAUUCGCACAAUAUUCAGAACAUAUGCAACACAAUGCUGUCUAUUGACACUACUUCGAACUGAAAUGCUCACUACUCGUCUCCCGUUUUCAACUCCCUCUACCUUAUGAAUACUCUACUUUACUGGUUUCGUUUCUACCCUUUCCAUUGCUGCCAGCCCCCAGUCUUUUUCAGUGGACAGCACCAUAUUGAAAUUUUUGUGAUUUGAUGUACACAUACUUUGAAAUUGAAAUUCGAAUUACAUGAUCAGAUUUUUGUU